RNAcentral lists this ribosomal RNA (1531 nucleotides) under Salmonella enterica subsp. enterica serovar Goldcoast. RNAcentral's name for it is "bacterial SSU rRNA". It matches the Rfam family "Bacterial small subunit ribosomal RNA". Lineage: Bacteria; Pseudomonadati; Pseudomonadota; Gammaproteobacteria; Enterobacterales; Enterobacteriaceae. The record is from RNAcentral.
AGAGUUUGAUCAUGGCUCAGAUUGAACGCUGGCGGCAGGCCUAACACAUGCAAGUCGAACGGUAACAGGAAGCAGCUUGCUGCUUUGCUGACGAGUGGCGGACGGGUGAGUAAUGUCUGGGAAACUGCCUGAUGGAGGGGGAUAACUACUGGAAACGGUGGCUAAUACCGCAUAACGUCGCAAGACCAAAGAGGGGGGACCUUCGGGCCUCUUGCCAUCAGAUGUGCCCAGAUGGGAUUAGCUAGUUGGUGAGGUAACGGCUCACCAAGGCGACGAUCCCUAGCUGGUCUGAGAGGAUGACCAGCCACACUGGAACUGAGACACGGUCCAGACUCCUACGGGAGGCAGCAGUGGGGAAUAUUGCACAAUGGGCGCAAGCCUGAUGCAGCCAUGCCGCGUGUAUGAAGAAGGCCUUCGGGUUGUAAAGUACUUUCAGCGGGGAGGAAGGUGUUGUGGUUAAUAACCGCAGCAAUUGACGUUACCCGCAGAAGAAGCACCGGCUAACUCCGUGCCAGCAGCCGCGGUAAUACGGAGGGUGCAAGCGUUAAUCGGAAUUACUGGGCGUAAAGCGCACGCAGGCGGUCUGUCAAGUCGGAUGUGAAAUCCCCGGGCUCAACCUGGGAACUGCAUUCGAAACUGGCAGGCUUGAGUCUUGUAGAGGGGGGUAGAAUUCCAGGUGUAGCGGUGAAAUGCGUAGAGAUCUGGAGGAAUACCGGUGGCGAAGGCGGCCCCCUGGACAAAGACUGACGCUCAGGUGCGAAAGCGUGGGGAGCAAACAGGAUUAGAUACCCUGGUAGUCCACGCCGUAAACGAUGUCUACUUGGAGGUUGUGCCCUUGAGGCGUGGCUUCCGGAGCUAACGCGUUAAGUAGACCGCCUGGGGAGUACGGCCGCAAGGUUAAAACUCAAAUGAAUUGACGGGGGCCCGCACAAGCGGUGGAGCAUGUGGUUUAAUUCGAUGCAACGCGAAGAACCUUACCUGGUCUUGACAUCCACAGAAGAAUCCAGAGAUGGAUUUGUGCCUUCGGGAACUGUGAGACAGGUGCUGCAUGGCUGUCGUCAGCUCGUGUUGUGAAAUGUUGGGUUAAGUCCCGCAACGAGCGCAACCCUUAUCCUUUGUUGCCAGCGGUCCGGCCGGGAACUCAAAGGAGACUGCCAGUGAUAAACUGGAGGAAGGUGGGGAUGACGUCAAGUCAUCAUGGCCCUUACGACCAGGGCUACACACGUGCUACAAUGGCGCAUACAAAGAGAAGCGACCUCGCGAGAGCAAGCGGACCUCAUAAAGUGCGUCGUAGUCCGGAUUGGAGUCUGCAACUCGACUCCAUGAAGUCGGAAUCGCUAGUAAUCGUGGAUCAGAAUGCCACGGUGAAUACGUUCCCGGGCCUUGUACACACCGCCCGUCACACCAUGGGAGUGGGUUGCAAAAGAAGUAGGUAGCUUAACCUUCGGGAGGGCGCUUACCACUUUGUGAUUCAUGACUGGGGUGAAGUCGUAACAAGGUAACCGUAGGGGAACCUGCGGUUGGAUCACCU